This is a long non-coding RNA of Erigeron canadensis, 1037 nucleotides long. RefSeq lists it as uncharacterized. Lineage: Eukaryota; Viridiplantae; Streptophyta; Magnoliopsida; Asterales; Asteraceae. The transcript has 2 exons. The record is from RefSeq and is a predicted model, not a curated record.
UUCUACUCUCAGCUCAUUAACACAUUUUUAUAUCUUUAGCUCUAAUAUCUUAAUUAGAGGAUAUUCAAAACUCAACAUUAGAAUCGCAUGUUACUGCUCCAACCAAUUUUCUGGUAUAUGUAAAUUGAAACACAUCUCGUGUUUAGGUUUAGCUACUUGACCUACUCUUCAUAAACCAUUAAUUUUUUGAAAUGGUCAUAUUUAGACCACCUUUUGUCAAAUAAGUUUUGAGCCAAAAAUUUUUACGAAACAAGGUAAUGCGGAAGUGGCACUACCGGACUCGUGAUUUCAAAGCGAGGCCGGUAGUGGCACUAUCGGUGUCACGAUCAAAGACCGAGACCGGUGUUGGCACUACCGGUCUCGUGUGUGGCACAGUAGACACAGCAGGUUGGAGUUGACAAGGCACUUUGAGUCCGAGGAUGCCACUUCCGGUCUCGAACAUCAAGACAAAUAUUUUCGAAUUGUUGUAGCGACAAACUGAAGAUACCCAUCGUGCAUACAAUAUUUUCCAUGAACGCCAAGUGAGUGAGCCAAGAUGUAGAAACGGUGAUGGAGGAAUCAUGUUAGAACUUGCAAAGAUGAAGAAAAACAAAACAAUCUGUGAGAAGGUCAUGACCAAUAUGAUCAGGAAUGCUGGGUUUGAGGGUGUAUUGAUGUCACUGGUCCACAAAAUCGAUCAUCCACCCAUUACCGCGUUGGUUGAAAGAUGGCGUCCCAAGACAAACACAUUUCAUUUGCCAAUUGGUGAAGCAACUGUUACCCUGCAGGAUAUGCAGGUGAUGUGGGGUUUACCCAUAGAUGGACCAGCUGUGACUGGUGAGUAGGCUACGGAACCACGUAAUCUUGAUUUCUGGAAUGACAUGUGUAUGGAUUGUUUUGGGUUUUUUCCUACUGAUGAAGAAUACGAAGAUAGUUUGAGCAACGGUCAAAUCAGAUGGAGUCGUUAGCAUGAAAAUAAUACAUAUUAAAUUAACAUCACAUUAACUUAGAUAAGAAUAAUACAUAUUCAAAAUACUACAUAAACUUUUUAUCUGAAA